GGCUCCGGCGCAAAGAGAGGCCCAAGUGAGAUUAGCUAGUUGGUGAGGUAAGAGCUCACCAAGGCGACGAUCUCUAGCUGUUCUGAGAGGAAGAUCAGCCACACUGGGACUGAGACACGGCCCAGACUCCUACGGGAGGCAGCAGUGGGGAAUAUUGCACAAUGGGGGAAACCCUGAUGCAGCCAUGCCGCGUGUGUGAAGAAGGCCUUCGGGUUGUAAAGCACUUUCAGUUGUGAGGAAAAGUUAGUAGUUAAUACCUGCUAGCCGUGACGUUAACAACAGAAGAAGCACCGGCUAACUCCGUGCCAGCAGCCGCGGUAAUACGGAGGGUGCGAGCGUUAAUCGGAAUUACUGGGCGUAAAGCGCACGCAGGCGGUUUGUUAAGCUAGAUGUGAAAGCCCCGAGCUCAACUUGGGAUGGUCAUUUAGAACUGGCAGACUAGAGUCUUGGAGAGGGGAGUGGAAUUCCAGGUGUAGCGGUGAAAUGCGUAGAUAUCUGGAGGAACAUCAGUGGCGAAGGCGACUCCCUGGCCAAAGACUGACGCUCAUGUGCGAAAGUGUGGGUAGCGAACAGGAUUAGAUACCCUGGUAGUCCACACCGUAAACGCUGUCUACUAGCUGUGUGUGCCUUUAAGGCUGUGCGUAGCGAAGCUAACGCGAUAAGUAGACCGCCUGGGGAGUACGGCCGCAAGGUUAAAACUCAAAUGAAUUGACGGGGGCCCGCACAAGCGGUGGAGCAUGUGGUUUAAUUCGAUGCAACGCGAAGAACCUUACCUACACUUGACAUGCAGAGAACUUUCCAGAGAUGGAUUGGUGCCUUCGGGAACUCUGACACAGGUGCU
This 841-nucleotide ribosomal RNA is filed under the name Alteromonas sp. MMRF708. RNAcentral's name for it is "bacterial SSU rRNA". It matches the Rfam family "Bacterial small subunit ribosomal RNA", at positions 210 to 1042 of the family's 1533-position model. Lineage: Bacteria; Pseudomonadati; Pseudomonadota; Gammaproteobacteria; Alteromonadales; Alteromonadaceae. The record is from RNAcentral.